Molecule: ribosomal RNA, 497 nt
Filed under: uncultured bacterium
Lineage: Bacteria
Description: partial 16S ribosomal RNA
Rfam family: Bacterial small subunit ribosomal RNA
Source: RNAcentral
GAUGAACGCUGGCGGCGUGCCUAAUACAUGCAAGUCGAGCGAACAGACGAGGAGCUUGCUCCUCUGACGUUAGCGGCGGACGGGUGAGUAACACGUGGAUAACCUACCUAUAAGACUGGGAUAACUUCGGGAAACCGGAGCUAAUACCGGAUAAUAUAUUGAACCGCAUGGUUCAAUAGUGAAAGACGGUUUUGCUGUCACUUAUAGAUGGAUCCGCGCCGCAUUAGCUAGUUGGUAAGGUAACGGCUUACCAAGGCAACGAUGCGUAGCCGACCUGAGAGGGUGAUCGGCCAACACGGAACCGAGACAAGGUCCAGACUCCUACGGGAGGCAGCAGUAGGGAAUCUUCCGCAAUGGGCGAAAGCCUGACGGAGCAAAGGCGGGUGAGUGAUGAAGGUCUUCGGAUCGGAAAACUCUGUUAUUAGGGAAGAACAAAAGUGUAAGUAAAUAUGGACGUUUUGACGGUACCCAAUUAGAAAGCCCCGGCUAACUUCGUG